RNAcentral lists this long non-coding RNA (265 nucleotides) under Musa acuminata (dwarf banana). RNAcentral describes it as "long non-coding RNA (MACU_LNC001105)". Lineage: Eukaryota; Viridiplantae; Streptophyta; Magnoliopsida; Zingiberales; Musaceae. The record is from RNAcentral.
CGUCUUCCAGAGCUGCGACGUCCUCUCCCGACUCCCCAGCCCCGGUCAGAUCAACACCAUCACCGCGCAGGGCCGCCGAGACCCCGACGAGAGCACGGGCUUCUCCUUCCAGUUCUGCAACGUCUCGGCCGACGCGGACCUGAUCGGCAACACCGACCGAACGGCCACGUACCUCGGCCGGCCAUGGAGGCAGUACUCCCGGACCGUCUUCAUGCAGUCUUUUCUGGACACGUUGAUCAGGCCAGAGGGGUGGGUGGAGUGGAAC